RNAcentral lists this small nucleolar RNA (127 nucleotides) under Aotus nancymaae (Ma's night monkey). RNAcentral describes it as "Small nucleolar RNA ACA64 (ENSANAG00000019175.1)". It matches the Rfam family "Small nucleolar RNA ACA64". The record is from Rfam by way of RNAcentral. Lineage: Eukaryota; Metazoa; Chordata; Mammalia; Primates; Aotidae.
AUUGGUUGAAUAUCACCCCCAGCUUUGGCCAUGGCCAUGGGUGACAUUUGGCACCCAGAGCCUCCAGGGGCCUCAACUCACUGUGCACUGCCCCAUGUGCAGCAGUGAAACCCAGGCCCUGGUGGGC